RNAcentral lists this non-coding RNA (30 nucleotides) under Rattus norvegicus (Norway rat). Lineage: Eukaryota; Metazoa; Chordata; Mammalia; Rodentia; Muridae. The record is from RNAcentral.
UAGUAUGUUUUAACAGAGGACCAGUUGCCC